This 2321-nucleotide long non-coding RNA is filed under the name Carassius auratus (goldfish). RNAcentral's name for it is "lncRNA (ENSCARG00000029069.1)". Lineage: Eukaryota; Metazoa; Chordata; Actinopteri; Cypriniformes; Cyprinidae. The record is from RNAcentral.
AUGCACAUUCAACCACUGUGUCCAGUGAUGUUGUCUGAAAACUCUUUAUCUCUUGUGGUUUCUCUGUCAGUGAGCAAGGCUGAGUGCUCUGAGGAAGAGUUCGGUCAGUUCCCGUACCGUCUGCUGGACUGGUUCCUACUCCUCAGCAGAAUGGGAGAGAGAUACACACCAGCCGCUCCCUCACAAAGCUGCCUCACACACACACAGCGAACCCAGCUUGCAGAGAGGAGGUUUGUUCUGCUGGAUCGUAAAAGGGACGGGAAGUUAAACAGGAGAGAUCUGAGAAAGCUCCACUACAAGCGGAUGCCACUGGAGCACUGCGCUCAAAGAUUCUUCCAGUCAUGUGACAAGAACAAGAAUAAGAAGGUGACCCUGAGGGAGUGGACAUCCUGUCUGGUUGACCGGUCAGAACGCUGGUUUCAGGAUUUCAUGUCCGUGAAGAUGGGCUCACCAAAGCUGUGUCCUGUCCCAGACAACAACCUGUAAAUUUUGGAUGCUUUAUCCAGGUGGAAUCAUAUUUUAAACCUUAUAAUAUACCUAGAAAUUAUAAUAUUUUAUAACUGGAGAAAGCUAGCCAUUUGCAUUCUUGUUGGAUUAGAAAUACAGCAAAUAGGGGUAAUGUGAAAUAUUCUUAGAAUCUAUUUGAAAAUAUGUUAUAAAGUGUAAUUUAUUCCUGUGAUGUCAAAGCUGAUUUUUCAGCAGCCAUUACAUGAUCCUUUGGAAAUUAUUCUAAUAUGCUGAUUUACUACAUAAGAAACAUUUCUUAUUGUUAUCAUAAGAAUAAAAACUGUUGCUAUGAUUAAUAUUUUAAGGAUUACAAUAGAAAGUACAUUAUACAUUUCUUUACUGUCACUUUUGAUCAAUUUAAUACAUACAUGCUGAAUAAAAGUUUUUCUUUACCAAACAGGUUUUUCUUUUCUUCUUUUCAACUUUUUCAAAAAAGUUUUUCUUUUACACUGUAGCAUUUGAAACACAAUAGCUGUUGCCCGAAAAGUGAAGGGGAUGAAAUAUCUGAAAGUUUGGGUUAGAAUAAUUGAAUACCUCUGUUAUAUUUAAAUUAAAAAAAAUGGUGCAUAAUAAAAGUCUAAACAUUGCUUUGUGCAUGUGUGUGUAUGCUGCACUCCAGUCAACAAAGAACGCUUUUUAAGGGACAGCAGCAUGUAUCAUGGAUCACACAAGCAAUUACUGCAGAGAGAGAAAGAGAGAGAGAUUGGGCUAUAACCUUAAACAGAGGAAUGGAGAGCAGAUUAAUUGAGGGGUGGUGUUUAAUAGGAGAGAGAUGGAGAGAGAGAUGGAUAGCCCAUGAGAGAGAUAAAAGACUACGUGAGCAGGGAUGAGAGGAAUAGAUAAUAUGGCAGAGAGAGAAACGGGGAAAGGCAAGGACACCGAAAGAGAGAGAGAAUCUCAUAAUGCACUCACAGAAUGGGACGGGGAGGGGGACAAGUUACAGUAAACCAUUGCAAAUGGAGGAGAGAAAAUAGAUUGAAGCAUGAAAAAUGGAUCAGAAAGAGAGAGACGGUGGGGGGAGGGGUGUGAGAGAGAGAGAAAAAGAGUUGCAGAAGGGUGUGAUAAAGGGUGAGAUUGUUAGAUGGAAAGAGAAAAAGAAGAGAGUAACUAAAUGGCAUCCCACCACAAAGUAACUUCCCCUUCCAGUACAUCAUUGAUGUCUUCCACUUUUCCAAACACUAAACGCUUCCAAUCAUGUCUGCCAAGUGUGAAAAAUUGAUUCGCAACAUUUGAAAACAAGUAGAUCGAGUUUUCCAUGUCUAUAUGACCCCAGGAAGUACGGCAGAAUAAUCCGGUCUCAUUACAUUUGUAGCUUUUUAAAGUGGGUUUGGUUUCCUGUAGCUUUAGUGCAGUCAAGAAUCAUCUGGCAGUAUCUUCUGCAUUGUUUGGCUUUAUGGUGCGGUUUGAUAUCUGUCAUUGUGUUGUGUGAUCAUUCUGUGUUGUGACAUUUUGAGGUUAUGUUUUGAGUUUAAUGUGUGCAGUCAUUUUUUUAUUAUGUCUCGUGUUGUUAUUACGCAGUGUAGUUUGGUCCUGUGUUGCUUUAAUAAAUGUUUUCACUCAGACUUUACUAUUUGUCUAAAAGAAUUUUGCAUUUCACAGGCACCAUUUGCAUUUGUGACUAUAUAUAUAUAUAUAUAUAUAUAUAUAUAUAUAUAUAUAUAUAUAUAUAUAUAUAUAUAUAUAUAUAUGUGUGUGUGUAUUUAUUCAAAUAUAUACUGUAUUUAUUUUUAAAUGUAUAAAAACUGUGAUAGAUGAACAGUAUACAUUAUGUUAUCUCUUACCUGAAUAUGUUACUGAAUACCAUGAAAAAUGAC